UGUAGGAGCUGCCGAAGGCUGCGAUCUUUUGAUCUUGAUCUUUUUAAAAACGAGAUCAAAAGAUCGCAGCCUUCGGCAGCUCCUACA
RNAcentral lists this unclassified non-coding RNA (87 nucleotides) under Pseudomonas moraviensis. Lineage: Bacteria; Pseudomonadati; Pseudomonadota; Gammaproteobacteria; Pseudomonadales; Pseudomonadaceae. The record is from RNAcentral.